RNAcentral lists this ribosomal RNA (714 nucleotides) under Escherichia coli. RNAcentral describes it as "partial 23S ribosomal RNA". It matches the Rfam family "Bacterial large subunit ribosomal RNA", at positions 1 to 759 of the family's 2925-position model. The record is from RNAcentral. Lineage: Bacteria; Pseudomonadati; Pseudomonadota; Gammaproteobacteria; Enterobacterales; Enterobacteriaceae.
GUUAAGCGACUAAGCGUACACGGUGGAUGCCCUGGCAGUCAGAGGCGAUGAAGGACGUGCUAAUCUGCGAUAAGCGUCGGUGAGGUGAUAUGAACCGUUAUAACCGGCGAUUUCCGAAUGGGGAAACCCAGUGUGUUUCGACACACUAUCAUUAACUGAAUCCAUAGGUUAAUGAGGCGAACCGGGGGAACUGAAACAUCUAAGUACCCCGAGGAAAAGAAAUCAACCGAGAUUCCCCCAGUAGCGGCGAGCGAACGGGGAGGAGCCCAGAGCCUGAAUCAGUGUGUGUGUUAGUGGAAGCGUCUGGAAAGGCGUGCGAUACAGGGUGACAGCCCCGUACACAAAAAUGCACAUAUUGUGAGCUCGAUGAGUAGGGCGGGACACGUGGUAUCCUGUCUGAAUAUGGGGGGACCAUCCUCCAAGGCUAAAUACUCCUGACUGACCGAUAGUGAACCAGUACCGUGAGGGAAAGGCGAAAAGAACCCCGGCGAGGGGAGUGAAAAAGAACCUGAAACCGUGUACGUACAAGCAGUGGGAGCCUCUUAAUGGGGUGACUGCGUACCUUUUGUAUAAUGGGUCAGCGACUUAUAUUCUGUAGCAAGGUUAACCGAAUAGGGGAGCCGAAGGGAAACCGAGUCUUAACUGGGCGUUAAGUUGCAGGGUAUAGACCCGAAACCCGGUGAUCUAGCCAUGGGCAGGUUGAAGGUUGGGUAA